UCUUACAGAAUUUGCAAUUGCAAGUAGAUGCAGAAUCUCUUCGUAAAGAACUAGAGCAAAAACAUAAUUUGUUAGAAGAAGCUCUAGGAACUUUGGAGAAAUUAGAAAAUAAUCACAAACAAGAAAUUCAUUCCAUCAAAACUAAGAACAACAAUGAGAAGACUCUCUUAGA
This is a long non-coding RNA of Centruroides sculpturatus (bark scorpion), 172 nucleotides long. RefSeq lists it as uncharacterized. Lineage: Eukaryota; Metazoa; Arthropoda; Arachnida; Scorpiones; Buthidae. The transcript is spliced from 2 exons. The record is from RefSeq and is a predicted model, not a curated record.